GGGACUGGGGCUCAGUGGUAGAGCACUUGCCUGGCAUGUGUGAGGCACUGGGUUCGAUUCUCAGCACCA
This 69-nucleotide transfer RNA is filed under the name Ictidomys tridecemlineatus (thirteen-lined ground squirrel). RNAcentral describes it as "Spermophilus tridecemlineatus (thirteen-lined ground squirrel) tRNA". It matches the Rfam family "tRNA". From Rfam's summary of the family: Transfer RNA (tRNA) molecules are approximately 80 nucleotides in length. Their secondary structure includes four short double-helical elements and three loops (D, anti-codon, and T loops). Further hydrogen bonds mediate the characteristic L-shaped molecular structure. tRNAs have two regions of fundamental functional importance: the anti-codon, which is responsible for specific mRNA codon recognition, and the 3' end, to which the tRNAs corresponding amino acid is attached (by aminoacyl-tRNA synthetases). tRNAs cope with the degeneracy of the genetic code in two manners: having more than one tRNA (with a specific anti-codon) for a particular amino acid; and 'wobble' base-pairing, i.e. permitting non-standard base-pairing at the 3rd anti-codon position. The record is from Rfam by way of RNAcentral. Lineage: Eukaryota; Metazoa; Chordata; Mammalia; Rodentia; Sciuridae.